GGUGCAGCUGCGGCACUCUGCCGAGACCAUAAUGGCGUCUAUCUGGGGUCGUCGGCUAUGGCCUUUUCAGAUAUUUCUGGCCCAGGGACGCUAGAGGCGCUAGCUUGUCGAGAAGCGCUGAACCUAGCUUUGGAUUUAUCAGUUGAACACAUUAUCAUCGCAUGUGAUAACAAGACUGUGGUGGCGGAUAUCAAUAACGGAACUGAAGGCCCAUACAGUGCCAUUAUCAAGGAGAUUCGUGCCAGGGCGAGGAGUUUCAGAAGCUAUGAGUUUAUUUUUGAAGGUCGGGCGAGGAACAUUGAUGCCCAUAAUUUAGCUAAAUUUUCGUCUUCUUUAGAUGUUGGUCGCCAUUUGUGGCUGGGAGUACCCCAUGACCAGUUUGUUAUUCCUGUAAACCGUUCGGCAUCGCCAUAA
Molecule: ribosomal RNA, 414 nt
Filed under: Triticum aestivum (bread wheat)
Lineage: Eukaryota; Viridiplantae; Streptophyta; Magnoliopsida; Poales; Poaceae
Description: partial small subunit ribosomal RNA
Source: RNAcentral